UGUGGUUUCUGUGUCUGCUGUA
This 22-nucleotide unclassified non-coding RNA is filed under the name Mus musculus (house mouse). RNAcentral describes it as "oocyte_clustered_small_RNA6899". Lineage: Eukaryota; Metazoa; Chordata; Mammalia; Rodentia; Muridae. The record is from RNAcentral.